CGACGCCGCGUGGGGGAUGAAGGCCUUCGGGUUGUAAACCCCUUUCGGCAGGGACGAAGCGAAAGUGACGGUACCUGCAGAAGAAGCGCCGGCUAACUACGUGC
Molecule: ribosomal RNA, 104 nt
Filed under: uncultured bacterium
Lineage: Bacteria
Description: partial 16S ribosomal RNA
Rfam family: Bacterial small subunit ribosomal RNA
Source: RNAcentral